This is a long non-coding RNA of Ochotona princeps (American pika), 1163 nucleotides long. RefSeq lists it as uncharacterized. The record is from RefSeq and is a predicted model, not a curated record. The transcript is spliced from 2 exons. Lineage: Eukaryota; Metazoa; Chordata; Mammalia; Lagomorpha; Ochotonidae.
AGAUUGGAGAUGGAGGAGCAAGGACUUGAACCAGCGCUGUGAAAUGGAAUGAUGGCAUUGUAGGUAACAGCUUAGCUCAAAGUGCCAGCCUCUCCUGGUUCUUAGGCACUGCCACCUCCAGAGGCUCUGGAGUGAGGAGCUGUGUCACCUGGGGUCCCACUCCAAGGCCUGCUUUGAAGCUGAGAAGUCUGCACUGCACAGUCAAGGACAUCCUGGAUGCAAGCAUCUUGCUUGGUCCUUCUUCACCUAUAGGUGGGAUAUCCACUGAAAGAGCUCAAGAGAGGCCCCCACCCCCCAUGCCCUCUCUUAGGGACCAGGUUUCCCUUCAGCCUUGGUAUGGCAGUCCCUAGUGCCGUGGUGGCACAUGGCUUGUCUUUCUGAUUUUAAUGAUUUUUUGAAUUUAUUCUGUUUCCUACCUCAGGGAAAGGGAGGAGAGGUGAUCCUCUUGGAAAUUCAUGUAAUUGCUUUUAUUUGAUUUUUAUUAAAAUGCAUUCAGGAAUAAUGUGAUUGCCCCCUUUAUUAUGCUGUUCAUCAAUCUGGCAUGGGGAAUCAGCCUAGAAAAAUCGGUGGGCAUGGGAGGCUGGUGUGUGGAGGGUACAGCCCCACAGCAGCGUGAAUGGGGUUCACGUCACCUUGGGGAGAGAUGCUGCCUGCUCCCCCACCUUCCUCCCGCCACCAGCCUUCCAUCGCCUCUGUGCUGGACCUGCUGUCUGGGGAGGCAGAGGGAGAGAAGGGGCAUUGAGGGAGGAAUGUCCUGAGCCCAUUCUACAUGCCCUCUGAACCCCACCAUAUAUCUCUGGUCUUCCUCUGCUGCCCCUAGCCCAUUAGGAAACCUCUUCCCCACAGUCUAUGCAUGCUGGAAAAGAUAAAAUUGACCACAAUAUGUUUUAUUUAUUUUUUGCAGAUUUCUCCCAGCUUGUGCAUUGGCAGGAAAUCUGGGGUCAGGAGCCAGAACCAGGUGUCCACAGGUUCCCUGACACAAGACCCAGACACCCUAGCCUGUAGCCCAAAAGCUGACCUCCAGAGGUGGAAAUUCAGCUCUGUAGUCCUGAAGGCCCUCUGGGGACUGUUCCCACAGCUGAGUGUUCCGUAAAGGGCUUGGAGGUCUACAGAUCUCAUCAUCUGGCCUCUGAGCCUUGCCUACACUGUUCCUUCCACUGAAA